RNAcentral lists this ribosomal RNA (240 nucleotides) under uncultured bacterium. RNAcentral describes it as "partial 16S ribosomal RNA". It matches the Rfam family "Bacterial small subunit ribosomal RNA", at positions 96 to 334 of the family's 1533-position model. The record is from RNAcentral.
UGGCGAACGGGUGAGUAACGCGUGAGGAACCUGCCUCAAAGAGGGGGACAACAGUUGGAAACGACUGCUAAUACCGCAUAAGCCCACGGGUCGGCAUCGACCUGAGGGAAAAGGAGCAAUCCGCCUUGAGAUGGCCUCGCGUCCGAUUAGCUAGUUGGUGGGGUAACGGCCCACCAAGGCGACGAUCGGUAGCCGGACUGAGAGGUUGAACGGCCACAUUGGGACUGAGACACGGCCCAG